AUACGUAGGUGACGAGCGUUGUCCGGAAUUAUUGGGCGUAAAGGGAGCGCAGGCGGUUGGAAUAGUCUGAUGUGAAAGCCCACGGCUUAACCGUGGAAGGUCAUUGGAAACUGUCCAACUUGAAUGCAGAAGAGGAAAGUGGAAUUCCAUGUGUAGCGGUGAAAUGCGUAGAUAUAUGGAGGAACACCAGUGGCGAAGGCGACUUUCUGGUCUGUAAUUGACGCUGAGGCUCGAAAGCGUGGGUAGCGAACAGGAUUAGAUACCCUGGUAGUCCACGCCGUAAACGAUGAGUGCUAAGUGUUGGGAGGUUUCCGCCUCUCAGUGCUGCAGUUAACGCAUUAAGCACUCCGCCUGGGGAGUACGGCCGCAAGGCUGAA
RNAcentral lists this ribosomal RNA (377 nucleotides) under uncultured bacterium. RNAcentral describes it as "bacterial SSU rRNA". It matches the Rfam family "Bacterial small subunit ribosomal RNA", at positions 523 to 898 of the family's 1533-position model. The record is from RNAcentral.